Molecule: small nuclear RNA, 104 nt
Organism: Cricetulus griseus (Chinese hamster)
Lineage: Eukaryota; Metazoa; Chordata; Mammalia; Rodentia; Cricetidae
Source: Ensembl
GUGCUUGCUUCAGCAGCACACACACUAAAACUGGAACGAUACGGAGAUUAGCAUGGCCCCUGCGCAGAGAUGACACAUAAAUUUGAGAAGUGUUCCAUAUUUAA